Molecule: long non-coding RNA, 1235 nt
Filed under: Equus caballus (horse)
Lineage: Eukaryota; Metazoa; Chordata; Mammalia; Perissodactyla; Equidae
Description: lncRNA (ENSECAG00000050539.1)
Source: RNAcentral
AAUCUGCCUUGCCCUGGCAUUUUUCACUCCCAGUCUCAUCUUUGACAAGAUCACUUCCAGCUGGCCAGUUCUGCCCCAUCACUCCUGAAUUGUUUUCCCGGUGCAGUGGAUCUUUAUAUUCCACUCUCCCUUUAGGGGACUUAGGAAGGCAGGGCACCUGGAAGUAAGACCCUGGGCAAGUCACCUGCCCAUUCUGGCCUCGGUGUCCUCCUCUUAGAGAGAGAAGGUAUCUAUUGACCUUUUGGGUCCUUUUUCAAUCUCAUGCUCUGUGAGGCAACAACCUCAACUACCUCUGUCCAUGAGCAUACCCCCUAACCAUUUCCACAGAAUAAUUCCAGCUUUCCUGGAAGAAUUUGCCUAUGAGAUUGACUGAAAAUGGAGUUUGAAAUAAAUUAGAUCUGCUAGGAAGUCAACCAGCUUUGAGUUAUUUGUUUCCAACUGGGAUGAGGACAGAGGAAAAGAUGACAAGUAUGCCUAGCUUCCCUCUUGCCAAAGGGCCUCUCCCUAGGAGAUAUUUUCAAAGAAAAAGAGAAAAUGAUGGAUUAUAAAGCACAGAAAUGAGCUGCAGGUGGCACUCAGCACCCCAUUCCCUUCUUGAAUUGGCCAAAUUCUCUCCCUCUCCUCCACCUUUAGCAUCCGACUGUCUCCGUUUGAUUCAGCCUGUCGACCAAGGCAAGACCUUCCCUCUGGCUCUGGCGUGGUUCCCACUGCCAUCAGCUGCCUUGCAGGUCCCUUCCCCAUCUCUGCAGAUGGCAAGUCUCAUGCACAGCUGCUUUGAGCCACCUGCUACCCUAAUUCUCAGUCUUCUCUUUGGUGUGAAUUGCCUUCAGCAUCAGUCCAGCAGGAGUAUGAGAUGGAAAGUGCUAACCUUCAGCAAAUUUGUAAACUCCAGCCUGGGGUGCCUAUCAGGCCCAGCUCGAAUCCUGCCUCUCCCCCGAAGCCUUCCCUGGUCACCACAAUUCACAGCCUCCUGUUGACACUGAAUCCAACCACAUAAGUUGUGCAAUUAACAUUCUGUUCUUAAGUAAUUAACAUUGCCAGUGCAGAAUACCUUAUUUCUCCUUGAAGGGAAGAAACUAUAUUUCACAGUUCUUUUUAUUCCAGUUAGUGUUAUGCUUUAGAUUUUCGAAGAACUUUGUGUACUUGUUUUAUCUGACCCAUACAAUAAUGCUGCAAGGUAGACAAGGAUAUUAGACACUUUUGCGAGUGACAGAAGCCCAACUUGCUGGAGCUGA